This 249-nucleotide ribosomal RNA is filed under the name uncultured bacterium. Its description in RNAcentral is "partial 16S ribosomal RNA". It matches the Rfam family "Bacterial small subunit ribosomal RNA", at positions 523 to 769 of the family's 1533-position model. The record is from RNAcentral.
AUACGUAGGUGGCAAGCGUUGUCCGGAUUUAUUGGGCGUAAAGCGAGCGCAGGCGGUUUUUUAAGUUCUUGAUGUGAAAGCCUUCGGCUUAACCGGAGAAGUGCAUCGGAAACUGGGAGACUUGAGUGCAGAAGAGGACAGUGGAACUCCAUGUGUAGCGGUGGAAUGCGUAGAUAUAUGGAAGAACACCAGUGGCGAAGGCGGCUGUCUGGUCUGUAACUGACGCUGAGGCUCGAAAGUAUGGGUAGC